Molecule: long non-coding RNA, 100 nt
Organism: Melanotaenia boesemani (Boeseman's rainbowfish)
Lineage: Eukaryota; Metazoa; Chordata; Actinopteri; Atheriniformes; Melanotaeniidae
Exons: 3
Source: RefSeq, a predicted model, not a curated record
GUGACGUCACAGAGGCUCCGUCCAGCUUUUAUAUACAGUCUAGGGUUCAGACGCAGUGUUACUGAACACCUGCACCCAAGUCUAAUGGGGAAUGAGCUGC